This 252-nucleotide ribosomal RNA is filed under the name uncultured bacterium. Its description in RNAcentral is "partial small subunit ribosomal RNA". It matches the Rfam family "Bacterial small subunit ribosomal RNA", at positions 26 to 281 of the family's 1533-position model. The record is from RNAcentral.
AGGAUGAACGCUAGCGGGAGGCCUAACACAUGCAAGCCGAGCGGUAUAGUUCCUUCGGGGACUAGAGAGCGGCGUACGGGUGCGUAACACGUGUGCAACCUACCUUUAUCUGGGGGAUAGCCUUUCGAAAGGAAGAUUAAUACCCCAUAACAUACUGAAUGGCAUCAUUCGGUAUUGAAAACUCCGGUGGAUAGAGAUGGGCACGCGCAAGAUUAGAUAGUUGGUGGGUAACGGCCCACCAAGUCAGUGAUC